UACGAAGGGGGCGAGCGUUGUUCGGAUUUACUGGGCGUAAAGGGCGCGCAGGCGGCGCAUUUUGUCAGGCGUGAAAGCCCCGGGCUUAACCUGGGGACUGCAUUUGAUACUGAUUGGCUUGAAUUCGGGAGAGGAUAGCGGAAUUCCCAGUGUAGAGGUGAAAUUCGUAGAUAUUGGGAAGAACACCGGUGGCGAAGGCGGCUAUCUGGACCGACAUUGACGCUGAGGCGCGAAAGCGUGGGGAGCAAACAGG
RNAcentral lists this ribosomal RNA (253 nucleotides) under uncultured bacterium. RNAcentral's name for it is "partial 16S ribosomal RNA". It matches the Rfam family "Bacterial small subunit ribosomal RNA", at positions 524 to 776 of the family's 1533-position model. The record is from RNAcentral.